CCUACAAAGUUGCAGAGGAAGUUUCUCAGGCUGUCAUCCAACUUCCCGCCUUUAAUUUCUGUUGUUUGAUAGAGAAUGACUAAGAAAGCUAGUGACUCAGAAGGCUUGAGCGGCUGUCUGCCGAGCUGGACGGUCAAGGGAGGGAGAUGGGUCGGUGGAAAAAGAAAUCAAGAGAGGAAAGGGAAGAAGCAGAGAGAAGACUCAAAAGCCAGCCCAAAAAUAGACGAUGGGCGAUCCUGGCCUGGUUCCGCAGGCAUCGAGACCCCCGGAGCGCUGCUGCUCCUCCGGCAGGAAGCUCUGGAGGAUUCUCACAGCUGGUCUUGGAGGGCCGCUUCCUGGAAGCCUGUCAGAGCAUCUCAUCCUCAGCAGAGGAAGGGCAGGACCGUGGCUCCCAGUACCAGGUCGUGGCCCAGGGCAUGUGGCAGGUCGUCCAGGAGGCGCUGGAGGGCGGCGGGGGCGGCCGGAAGCUGCAGACGAAGCUCAGGUCGGUGGCAGCCACAGUGGAGUGGGCCCGGGGCGCCUCCCGGGAGCUGGGUGGAGACCUGGCCUCCUGGGACUGCCAGCUGCGGACACGGCUGAGGAAUGACGCUGAGAACUGGGUGCCCCCGAGCCCUGGAGACCGAGUGCCCCUGAGCCCGGGGGACCAGCUGGGCGGGUACCUGGCAGAGCUGGCCAAGGCCGUGGAUCGUGGCCUGGGCCCCCAGAGGGCAGGCCGGCUGGGAGCCCGCCUCUCAGCGACCGACAGAGAGUGCUUCCAGGAGGUGCUCCUGGGCCGCCUCUCCAUGCUCCUGACCCGCAGUGGAGACCGGGACAGCUGCCGGGAGCUCUACACCUGGGCCGGGAAGACCUUGUUUGGGCAGCUGCCGACGACGCCAAGGCCCGCCGCCGCCAGGAAACUCCUGGACCCGCUAAUGUUUGCCACCUGGAUGUCCCAGGUGCAGAGCCGGCUGGUGGAGCUGACCCAGAAAGAGUUGGAAAAGCAACUAGAAAAUGUCCUGACCUGUGAUCAGAAAGAGUGGGCCACCUCUCCCUGCCAGGCGUUCCUCAAAAUCUUCCAGCUGUUGAAAGGAACCAUAGAUUCGGUGCAAGACAUCGGGCCUCCCAUUACCAGCCGGGUUCAAGCCAUGGUUCUGAACACGUUCUCAGAGUUUCUGAAAAGGUACCGGGCUGAGGGUACCGCCCACUUCCUCCAGCAGCAGGCCGGUGCCGGACCCUCCCCCCAGCUGCACGUGCUGCAGAACUGCUGCGUCCUCAGAGCCUACUGCGGCAUCACUUCGGGAGGGAAGACAAGGAGCUGGCUCACACUCUGCGAUCCCUCCGGCGGGGCCUGGAGCGCUAUGCCGGUCUGCUUCCUCCUCCCACAAACAAGGUAG
RNAcentral lists this long non-coding RNA (1373 nucleotides) under Bos indicus x Bos taurus (hybrid cattle). RNAcentral describes it as "lncRNA (ENSBIXG00000013678.1)". The record is from RNAcentral. Lineage: Eukaryota; Metazoa; Chordata; Mammalia; Artiodactyla; Bovidae.